GGCUGGUCUGUUAUAAUGUAGUUACGGCAGGCUGACUUGAUUCCUGCAUUUCACAUCACUGCAACACUACAUAAAGAGUUAUUACCUUCUUCAUUAGGACUCACUCUCAUUGUCUAAGUAUUUUAUUCUAAGCAAGCAUGGUUUGCCAGAGGUCUUCAGGGAGCACCAUCCACAAAGCCCCAGGAGCCCUGUCUUCCCUCCCUGUGUCAGGAAGGUCCAUGGAAGGCAUAACUGGUAGAGGGAACUUGCUGUUGACAACUGCAGCUGAUAAAGGAAAUACUGUGAGUUACUGCACUUUAUAAUUGCCCCAAAUACUCUUGAGCAUUUCUAGAUAGCAGAAGUGAUCAGUGUGUAUUGCUCUUUAU
Molecule: long non-coding RNA, 365 nt
Filed under: Accipiter nisus (Eurasian sparrowhawk)
Lineage: Eukaryota; Metazoa; Chordata; Aves; Accipitriformes; Accipitridae
Description: lncRNA (ENSANIG00000005085.1)
Source: RNAcentral